Molecule: non-coding RNA, 89 nt
Organism: Aspergillus alliaceus
Lineage: Eukaryota; Fungi; Ascomycota; Eurotiomycetes; Eurotiales; Aspergillaceae
Source: the annotation of a RefSeq genome assembly
GGGCUUGUAACUCAGUGGUAGAGUGCUCGCUUCGCAGUAUUGCUUAAUUAAAAUGCGAGAAGUCGGGGGUUCAAUUCCCCUCAAGUCCA